AACGAACGCUGGCGGCAUGCCUAACACAUGCAAGUCGAACGAGACCUUCGGGUCUAGUGGCGCACGGGUGCGUAACGCGUGGGAACCUGCCCUUAGGUUCGGAAUAACUCCCCGAAAGGGGUGCUAAUACCGGAUAAUGUCUUCGGACCAAAGAUUUAUCGCCUUUGGAUGGGCCCGCGUUGGAUUAGCUAGUUGGUAGGGUAAAAGCCUACCAAGGCGACGAUCCAUAGCUGGUCUGAGAGGAUGAUCAGCCACACUGGGACUGAGACACGGCCCAGACUCCUACGGGAGGCAGCAGGGGGGAAGAUUGGACAAUGGGCGAAAGCCUGAGCCAGCAAUGCCGCGUGAGUGAUGAAGGCCUUAGGGUUGUAAAGCUCUUUUACCCGGGAUGAUAAGGACAGUACCGGGAGAAUAAGCUCCGGCUAACUCCGG
This 432-nucleotide ribosomal RNA is filed under the name uncultured bacterium. RNAcentral's name for it is "partial 16S ribosomal RNA". It matches the Rfam family "Bacterial small subunit ribosomal RNA", at positions 29 to 506 of the family's 1533-position model. The record is from RNAcentral.